GUACACACCGCCCGUCACACCAUGAGAGUUGGAAAUACCCGAAGCCUGUGAGCUAACUUAAAGAGGCAGCAGUCGAAGGUAGAGCCAAUGAUUGGGGUGAAGUCGUAACAAGGUAAC
This 117-nucleotide ribosomal RNA is filed under the name uncultured bacterium. RNAcentral describes it as "partial 16S ribosomal RNA". It matches the Rfam family "Bacterial small subunit ribosomal RNA", at positions 1383 to 1500 of the family's 1533-position model. The record is from RNAcentral.